Molecule: RNA transcript, 1950 nt
Organism: Nicotiana attenuata
Lineage: Eukaryota; Viridiplantae; Streptophyta; Magnoliopsida; Solanales; Solanaceae
Gene name: anamorsin homolog
Exons: 9
Source: RefSeq, a predicted model, not a curated record
UUUAAAAAAAAUAUUAAAAACAAAAAAUUGUUUGCGAGUCGUUUCUCUACACGCGUUUCAAUUUCUGUCUGCGAAAAUUUCGAUCUCCAAUCUCUGAUUGUUCCCCACCACUAUGGACGGCCAAAUUGGAGGCGGUAAUGUACUGGUGCUUGCUGAGGAUGUUAUGGUACCAGUUAGUGUGGUAUCCAGUGCAAUCCGCAUCGUAAGGAAAGAGGGGAUUGAGAAGUUGGACCCUAAUAUUAUAACUCAAGCUUCAUCCCGGAGCCUGACAUCAGUGAAGUCUGCUUCUAUGGAUAUCGUUGCUCUCAUCUGUAGGUCUCUCGAGUUUCCUAGUGAUAAAUUGUGUGGGGACAUCUCAAGAGUGUUGAAGCCAGGUGGAACAGUCCUACUUAGUCUAAGUUCUCAGUUAAUCUCGAAGGCAAACUCCACCCAUGAGCGCACAUUAUUGUUGGCUGGAUUCUCUGAUGCACAGUCAUUUGAAGCUGGCCAGUCUUUCGUGAUAACAGCAAAGAAACCUUCAUGGAAGGUUGGUUCAUCCUUCUCUAUCAAGAAAGUCACAAAAAGUUUGCCGAAAGUUCAGAUUGAUGAUGAUUCAGAUCUCAUUGAUGAGGAUAGCCUUCUCAGUGAAGAAGAUCUGAAGAAACCUCAAUUGCCAAGUGUUGGUGAUUGUGAAGUUGGAAAGACAAAGAAAGCAUGCAAAAAUUGUACGUGCGGAAGGGCUGAAGCUGAAACAAAGGUGCAACUUGGACCAACGGCGGAACAGCUGAACAAUCCUCAGUCAGCCUGUGGCAGUUGUGGUCUAGGUGAUGCUUUCCGUUGCAGUACAUGUCCUUAUAAGGGUCUUCCUCCGUUCAAACUAGGCGAAAAGGUAACGCUUUCUGGGAAUUUUCUUGAUGCUGACAUCUAACUGCAGAUGAUAACAGUCUAUAUGAGAUUGCAAAAACCGUUAUAAUUAGGUCAAAAUUAGUUUGUUCAUUUUGGUUGAGGUGAGAUAAGUGAAUGUGUAAUAUGGACUCUUGAAGAAGUGAGGGAAAUAGCAGUGGACUGUGAACUGCUGUUAAGACUUCUAAGAGCUGUUAGAAGAGACUUGGAUUUAUCUGACAGAACAUAAAGGAAAGAAAAUCAUGAACACCAGGAGGAUUGGUGAUCCCAAGUGAAAGGUAGACUUUAUGACUCGCAAUUCCUAGCACUGUGCGUUUGCUCGCUUUUUGCCAUCAUCUUGUUUGGUUGUGGUUGUGGUGUUGUCUGAAUGCCAAAUCAUCUAGAAUGGAAAAAUGAAGCAUUGUCUAAGCCUGCUAAUAUUGCUAUUUCUGCGUGACGGUUUUUCUUUUGAAAAGACUUUGGGUACGGAGACUUACGAAAGAUAAAUUUUCCAUUAUGUUCGAAUGGAAUUUACCAAACCACUGGACGUGAAAGUUAAAAUGUCAGAAUGGAGGGGUAGUCAAUAGAGUAAAUUUUAUUUUACCUUGUUAAUUGUUAAUGGUAGGAAGAUAAUCGGCCUUUUGAAUGAGACUGAUAACUUUCUUGAGCAACACUUUCCGGUUGGUUUAGGUAAGAGGUCUAUACUUUUCCUCAUGUUGGGCCAGAGGGAUACAUGAAAUAUUCAGAAUGAAAUUUCUUUGAAAAAUUUACGGCGAAGAAUAGGGACCCAAGGCUAAGCUUCGAGAUGCAACUUUUCGUUGUUGGAUUGAAUUAAUUUUGAUUCAUCGACAUCGAUUUAUGUAGAGAAUACCUUGGAUUGGACAGUUGAAGACUUGUAAAUUACUUCGCACUAUUUGGUAUGCAAAAUCAGAAACAUUCAAAGUGAAAAAUUUGAGAGGAGCAUCCAUCAGAACUCUUUCGGUAGGAGAAAAGAGAUGCUCAACGAUAUCCAUAGAAUUUCGACGAAAGAGGCAAUAUGAUUGAUGCUACAGCACCCUACAAAUAUUGCAAUAUUAAGUAUUAACUAUA